RNAcentral lists this transfer RNA (73 nucleotides) under Amolops chunganensis (Chungan torrent frog). Its description in RNAcentral is "tRNA-Leu". It matches the Rfam family "tRNA". From Rfam's summary of the family: Transfer RNA (tRNA) molecules are approximately 80 nucleotides in length. The record is from RNAcentral. Lineage: Eukaryota; Metazoa; Chordata; Amphibia; Anura; Ranidae.
GUUAGCGUAGCAUAAAUAGGUAAUGCAAGAGAUCUAAGCCCUCUUAACUGAGGUUCAAGUCCUCCCACUAACU